This 253-nucleotide ribosomal RNA is filed under the name uncultured bacterium. RNAcentral's name for it is "partial 16S ribosomal RNA". It matches the Rfam family "Bacterial small subunit ribosomal RNA", at positions 524 to 776 of the family's 1533-position model. The record is from RNAcentral.
UACGGGGGGGGCAAGCGUUGUUCGGAAUUACUGGGCGUAAAGGGCGCGUAGGCGGUUCGUACAGUCAGACGUGAAAUUCCUGGGCUCAACCUGGGGGCUGCGUUUGAUACGUGCGGGCUUGAGUUCGGAAGAGGGUCGUGGAAUUCCCAGUGUAGAGGUGAAAUGCGUAGAUAUUGGGAAGAACGCCUGAGGCGAAGGCGGGUUGCUGGGCUGACACUGACGCUGAGGCGCGAAAGCCAGGGGAGCGAACGGG